GAAUGUGUGUCUUAAGACAGUCAAGCGGUGGGGCCUGUCAACCCCCAGAGAGUCUCUGCCCGGUGUGAUACGAUGUUGAUUCAAGGUCCCCCCCCAUUAGUCUCCGUUUGCCGCAGUUGCUUCCGCUGUUUCAGGAAUUACAGCAGGAGUAAUUCCACAGACACUGGCUGGGCUGUGGUCAUCUGGUGGUUCGGCUGAACAUGCCUUUCAAGAAACUCAUCAGUGCGGAUUUUAGCCUGAAGCUCAGUUGAGCUGUGGACCAGAGUGCCCACUGUGACAUCUUCAGCAUCAUUAUCUAAAGGCAGACUUCUUACAUGGAACUCUGGACUCUCAAGGCAAACUCUCGCUUUGCUUACAGCUUACAUGCAAAAAGGAAAAUCAGGUGUCUGUAUGAUGUGUCAUAGCGACCAUUAAGCUCAGUUGUGUUGCACUGCUUGUGACAAAUGGCAAGAGUUCCUGAGGUUAGUUGUUUUCUUUGCUUGGUUUUUGUUUUUGUUGUUUUGGUAUUUUGAGACAGGAUUUCUCUGUAAAACAGUUCUGACCAUGGUUAGUUUUAACUCAAAAGAAGACAAUGCUCAUAUCAAGACCAGAUGAGGCAACCCAGUAGGAGAAAAAGGGUCCCAAGAGCAGUUGACAGAAUCAGAGACACCCCUGUUCCAACUGUUAGGAGUCCCACAAGAAGACUUAGCUACAUAGCAAUAACAUACAUGCAGAAUACCUAUCUCAGACCUGUGCAGGUUCCAUGAUAGUCGCUUCAGUUACUAGUUUAAUUGUAACUUGUUAUGCUGUGUUUGAUUGAUGUCCCUGGGAGGCUUGCUCCUUUUUAAAGUGAAGUAGAGAAGGAAGGGAUCUGGAGGAGAGAAGAGGUGAGGGAACUGGAGGGGAGGAACAAAGGGAAAUUUUAGUGGGGAUGUAAUUGAUGAAAGAAGAAAAAAAUAUAAAAAGAAAGGAACACUCCUCAAUGGGAAGAAUACCAAAGAGUUGAGUGAUGCUUUGAAAAUUCUUGAAACACAUUAUUUUAGAAUUCAAUCCAUGCUGGGAAGACUCAUAAACAGUGUUUAUGAGUGUUUAUUCUGUGCAGCACAAAGACAAAGUUUAUACUCUGGGAUCGAUGAACCAGCCUAAAAGAACCCUGAAUAAUGAAUGGACACUCAGUGGGCAGAGAAAUGGAAAAGAUCAAAACAUAUGGAAUGUGAGAAGGAAGAAGGCCUGGACAGAGCAGGAAGUAUCCUAUGCCUGGACCCAUGGAGGUUCCUGAGAGAUGGCACUGGUUCAUGCCACCGUGUGCAUACACGUCUGCAUAGUCAAAUGUGUAAACACCUGUACUUGCACUAAAAGUUAAUGGCGAGGGCCCCAACACAUUUCAUAUGACAGUGACCAUUUUGGCUUCCUUUCCUACUUCCAUGAGAAUGGAAAUGCUCACUGGGAGAUAGCUCUCAGCCAGUCCUUGUUAUUCACCACCCUAGCUGCUGGCUCUCAACUGCAUCAAUUACUCAGCAUCAGCAUAUAAGUGAAGUCAUCGAGAAUCAUGAAGACGUAAUGCCAUAGGUAAUAAGGUUUGGAACGAGUUGCUGUUUCUUCUACCUUUAAUAAUUUUCUGUUUUCCAUUUUUCAUCUGACAAUCAUCUAUAUUAACAGAAUUCCGAUAUUGUUUCAUUCUUUCCAAAGAGUGAUCAGUUGCUCAUAAAAUAGUCUAAAUAUAUCCCUCAAACUAUAAUAUCACAUUUUUAUUAUUUUUUAGCUGGAGCAUUCCUUUAGUUCUCAUCUCAUGAUCCAUCCUUACAUAAUGAAAUUCUGGGUGUAAUUUAAAAAAUAAUUGGCUAGCAUAAUCUAUUGCACAGAAAAAUCAUUUUGGGUCAUUAUAAAACCAGACUGCUUAUUAAUUGCUUAUGAGACCAGAGUAUAUUAUUUUAUUCCAUUAAUACAUUUUUGUAUUUAUGUAAAUUUUCUUCACUGUCAUUGUACAAAGUCAUUUUUAUUGUAUUAUUUUCAAGGUUAUAAGAGGGCUAGUGUGUCAGUUCCAGGUUUUCAAAGCCAAAUGCCAAUCACCCAUGCUCUAUAUGUUCCUGACUGGUUAAAUAAAAUAAGUCAUAUGGAA
This is a long non-coding RNA of Mesocricetus auratus (golden hamster), 2098 nucleotides long. RefSeq lists it as uncharacterized. The record is from RefSeq and is a predicted model, not a curated record. Lineage: Eukaryota; Metazoa; Chordata; Mammalia; Rodentia; Cricetidae. The transcript is spliced from 2 exons.